Molecule: transfer RNA, 74 nt
Filed under: Thermoplasmata archaeon
Lineage: Archaea; Methanobacteriati; Thermoplasmatota; Thermoplasmata
Also listed under: 1 other name
Description: tRNA-Pro
Rfam family: tRNA
About the family: Transfer RNA (tRNA) molecules are approximately 80 nucleotides in length. Their secondary structure includes four short double-helical elements and three loops (D, anti-codon, and T loops).
Source: RNAcentral
GGGUCCGUGGGCUAGCUUGGUUAUACUUGGUGGUUCGGGACCAUCAGACCCCGGUUCAAAUCCGGGCGGACCCA